This 2891-nucleotide ribosomal RNA is filed under the name Pseudomonas aeruginosa. RNAcentral describes it as "23S ribosomal RNA". It matches the Rfam family "Bacterial large subunit ribosomal RNA". The record is from RNAcentral. Lineage: Bacteria; Pseudomonadati; Pseudomonadota; Gammaproteobacteria; Pseudomonadales; Pseudomonadaceae.
GGUCAAGUGAAGAAGCGCAUACGGUGGAUGCCUUGGCAGUCAGAGGCGAUGAAAGACGUGGUAGCCUGCGAAAAGCUUCGGGGAGUCGGCAAACAGACUUUGAUCCGGAGAUCUCUGAAUGGGGGAACCCACCUAGGAUAACCUAGGUAUCUUGUACUGAAUCCAUAGGUGCAAGAGGCGAACCAGGGGAACUGAAACAUCUAAGUACCCUGAGGAAAAGAAAUCAACCGAGAUUCCCUUAGUAGUGGCGAGCGAACGGGGAUUAGCCCUUAAGCUUCAUUGAUUUUAGCGGAACGCUCUGGAAAGUGCGGCCAUAGUGGGUGAUAGCCCCGUACGCGAAAGGAUCUUUGAAGUGAAAUCGAGUAGGACGGAGCACGAGAAACUUUGUCUGAACAUGGGGGGACCAUCCUCCAAGGCUAAAUACUACUGACUGACCGAUAGUGAACCAGUACCGUGAGGGAAAGGCGAAAAGAACCCCGGAGAGGGGAGUGAAAUAGAACCUGAAACCAUAUGCGUACAAGCAGUGGGAGCCUACUUGUUAGGUGACUGCGUACCUUUUGUAUAAUGGGUCAGCGACUUAUAUUCAGUGGCAAGCUUAACCGUAUAGGGUAGGCGUAGCGAAAGCGAGUCUUAAUAGGGCGUUUAGUCGCUGGGUAUAGACCCGAAACCGGGCGAUCUAUCCAUGAGCAGGUUGAAGGUUAGGUAACACUGACUGGAGGACCGAACCCACUCCCGUUGAAAAGGUAGGGGAUGACUUGUGGAUCGGAGUGAAAGGCUAAUCAAGCUCGGAGAUAGCUGGUUCUCCUCGAAAGCUAUUUAGGUAGCGCCUCAUGUAUCACUCUGGGGGGUAGAGCACUGUUUCGGCUAGGGGGUCAUCCCGACUUACCAAACCGAUGCAAACUCCGAAUACCCAGAAGUGCCGAGCAUGGGAGACACACGGCGGGUGCUAACGUCCGUCGUGAAAAGGGAAACAACCCAGACCGCCAGCUAAGGUCCCAAAGUUGUGGUUAAGUGGUAAACGAUGUGGGAAGGCUUAGACAGCUAGGAGGUUGGCUUAGAAGCAGCCAUCCUUUAAAGAAAGCGUAAUAGCUCACUAGUCGAGUCGGCCUGCGCGGAAGAUGUAACGGGGCUCAAACCACACACCGAAGCUGCGGGUGUCACGUAAGUGACGCGGUAGAGGAGCGUUCUGUAAGCCUGUGAAGGUGAGUUGAGAAGCUUGCUGGAGGUAUCAGAAGUGCGAAUGCUGACAUGAGUAACGACAAUGGGUGUGAAAAACACCCACGCCGAAAGACCAAGGGUUCCUGCGCAACGUUAAUCGACGCAGGGUUAGUCGGUUCCUAAGGCGAGGCUGAAAAGCGUAGUCGAUGGGAAACAGGUUAAUAUUCCUGUACUUCUGGUUACUGCGAUGGAGGGACGGAGAAGGCUAGGCCAGCUUGGCGUUGGUUGUCCAAGUUUAAGGUGGUAGGCUGAAAUCUUAGGUAAAUCCGGGGUUUCAAGGCCGAGAGCUGAUGACGAGUCGUCUUUUAGAUGACGAAGUGGUUGAUGCCAUGCUUCCAAGAAAAGCUUCUAAGCUUCAGGUAACCAGGAACCGUACCCCAAACCGACACAGGUGGUCGGGUAGAGAAUACCAAGGCGCUUGAGAGAACUCGGGUGAAGGAACUAGGCAAAAUGGCACCGUAACUUCGGGAGAAGGUGCGCCGGCUAGGGUGAAGGAUUUACUCCGUAAGCUCUGGCUGGUCGAAGAUACCAGGCCGCUGCGACUGUUUAUUAAAAACACAGCACUCUGCAAACACGAAAGUGGACGUAUAGGGUGUGACGCCUGCCCGGUGCCGGAAGGUUAAUUGAUGGGGUUAGCGCAAGCGAAGCUCUUGAUCGAAGCCCCGGUAAACGGCGGCCGUAACUAUAACGGUCCUAAGGUAGCGAAAUUCCUUGUCGGGUAAGUUCCGACCUGCACGAAUGGCGUAACGAUGGCGGCGCUGUCUCCACCCGAGACUCAGUGAAAUUGAAAUCGCUGUGAAGAUGCAGUGUAUCCGCGGCUAGACGGAAAGACCCCGUGAACCUUUACUGUAGCUUUGCACUGGACUUUGAGCCUGCUUGUGUAGGAUAGGUGGGAGGCUUUGAAGCGUGGACGCCAGUUCGCGUGGAGCCAUCCUUGAAAUACCACCCUGGCAUGCUUGAGGUUCUAACUCUGGUCCGUGAUCCGGAUCGAGGACAGUGUAUGGUGGGCAGUUUGACUGGGGCGGUCUCCUCCUAAAGAGUAACGGAGGAGUACGAAGGUGCGCUCAGACCGGUCGGAAAUCGGUCGCAGAGUAUAAAGGCAAAAGCGCGCUUGACUGCGAGACAGACACGUCGAGCAGGUACGAAAGUAGGUCUUAGUGAUCCGGUGGUUCUGUAUGGAAGGGCCAUCGCUCAACGGAUAAAAGGUACUCCGGGGAUAACAGGCUGAUACCGCCCAAGAGUUCAUAUCGACGGCGGUGUUUGGCACCUCGAUGUCGGCUCAUCACAUCCUGGGGCUGAAGCCGGUCCCAAGGGUAUGGCUGUUCGCCAUUUAAAGUGGUACGCGAGCUGGGUUUAGAACGUCGUGAGACAGUUCGGUCCCUAUCUGCCGUGGACGUUUGAGAUUUGAGAGGGGCUGCUCCUAGUACGAGAGGACCGGAGUGGACGAACCUCUGGUGUUCCGGUUGUCACGCCAGUGGCAUUGCCGGGUAGCUAUGUUCGGAAAAGAUAACCGCUGAAAGCAUCUAAGCGGGAAACUUGCCUCAAGAUGAGAUCUCACUGGGAACUUGAUUCCCCUGAAGGGCCGUCGAAGACUACGACGUUGAUAGGCUGGGUGUGUAAGCGUUGUGAGGCGUUGAGCUAACCAGUACUAAUUGCCCGUGAGGCUUGACCAU